GACGAACGCUGGCGGCGUGCCUAAUACAUGCAAGUGGGACGCAAGGGAACACACUGUGCUUGCACACCGUGUUUUCUUGAGUCGCGAACGGGUGAGUAACGCGUAGGUAACCUGCCUAUUAGCGGGGGAUAACUAUUGGAAACGAUAGCUAAUACCGCAUAAUAUUAAUUAUUGCAUGAUAAUUGAUUGAAAGAUGCAAGCGCAUCACUAGUAGAUGGACCUGCGUUGUAUUAGCUAGUUGGUAAGGUAAGAGCUUACCAAGGCGACGAUACAUAGCCGACCUGAGAGGGUGAUCGGCCACACUGGGACUGAGACACGGCCCAGACUCCUACGGGAGGCAGCAGUAGGGAAUCUUCGGCAAUGGACGAAAGUCUGACCGAGCAACGCCGCGUGAGUGAAGAAGGUUUUCGGAUCGUAAAGCUCUGUUGUAAGUCAAGAACGUGUGUGAGAGUGGA
Molecule: ribosomal RNA, 455 nt
Filed under: Streptococcus mutans
Lineage: Bacteria; Bacillati; Bacillota; Bacilli; Lactobacillales; Streptococcaceae
Description: bacterial SSU rRNA
Rfam family: Bacterial small subunit ribosomal RNA
Source: RNAcentral